UGGAUGAGAAGCUACAAACCAAAAGGAAUAGAGGAGCAACGAGGAACAAGUGAAAACGCAGUCAAGCACACCCAAAACCUCUAAUUCAAUCCUCUUCUUGACUCCAUUAUUCACCAUUUUUUUUUUUAAUUUUUCUCAUUUUUCUGUAUUAUUUUUUUCUUCUUUUUUUUCAUCUUGUCUCUUUUCUUUUCUCUCUUUUCAUAACACAACUCUAAGAGACAAGAUACACACAUAAUUAUAAAACACAAACA
RNAcentral lists this long non-coding RNA (251 nucleotides) under Vigna radiata. RNAcentral describes it as "long non-coding RNA (VRAD_LNC002091)". The record is from RNAcentral. Lineage: Eukaryota; Viridiplantae; Streptophyta; Magnoliopsida; Fabales; Fabaceae.